This 62-nucleotide transfer RNA is filed under the name Brachypterolus vestitus. Its description in RNAcentral is "tRNA-Cys". Lineage: Eukaryota; Metazoa; Arthropoda; Insecta; Coleoptera; Kateretidae. The record is from RNAcentral.
GGUUAUAUAGUCAACAUAUGAUUUUAAAUUGCAAAUUUAAAGGUGAAAUUUUUCUAUAAUCU